Long non-coding RNA from Chiroxiphia lanceolata (lance-tailed manakin), 1773 nucleotides. RefSeq lists it as uncharacterized. Lineage: Eukaryota; Metazoa; Chordata; Aves; Passeriformes; Pipridae. The transcript is spliced from 6 exons. The record is from RefSeq and is a predicted model, not a curated record.
GUCUUUUCCUUUGAAGAAGGCUCUUGUUAAAUUUCACUAGACAUCAGUCGGUCUCGGGAGCUGCAUCUCCACUUCGCUUCCUUGAUGCUCCAAACUCCACAGGUGGAACAGAGGGAAGUGAAUAUGUGUUUGCAAAUGUGGGCACAAAGUGAGGUUCUGGUUGCUGAGGAAGCAAGUGCUAAUGAUCCUGCUUUAGACUAAUUACAACCUACAAGGACUGCAGGGUGGGAACUCAUUAAUUUCUUCACUGGUGUUGGUCUCUGUGUCUCUUCCAGUGUUGGCAAGAAUCAUGCUUUUUGUUCUCAUUUAGGUCUUUCAGUCGGGAUAAGUUCUAUGGAUUUGGUUUUGUUUUGAGUUUCCUAAUUUCCAGGAAACAACUAAAGUGAAAUCAGAAGGGGAAAAUUCAUCCUUCUCUCCUGCUGAGUGGAGCUGGGAGUGUGAAUGAACUUCGAUGAGCCCCAACAUGAGGAGCAGUAUCUUCCCUGGGGACUGAAAGCUCACACUGCUGCAGCUGAGACCAGCCUCAGUAUUUACCACAACCAGACUGCCCCCAUUCUGUGGUUCCCUGCUGGCAGAAUGAUGUUCUGCAGAAGGCCCUUCCCAGGAAAAUAUUUGGGCUCCUCAGCCUGCAUUGCCCCAGUAGGGUGAGACCACCGGGAUCAUCAUGGGCUCUGCGUGGCCAGUACACGGGAACACCACCAACAGCACCCUCCAAAAGCUCCCUGAUUCUGGGGCUGAAAUCCUGCCAGCUCUGAAGGCAACAGCAAAAUGUGUCUGACCUGGGCUGAAGGAAAACCUUGGACUUUGGCUGGAAUCAGAUGGUUUGAAGCACAUUCACUGGAGAAGGACGAUUAAAAGAACAAAACCAACGCGCGGAGCAAACCUCACACUGUCAACUUCCAGUUCAAGGUGUCUCAAGACGCACCCAACCCUCGUCUCCUCGACCUGCAUCGCCCCAAGGGAUGCCUCACACCCAGAAACGGGGGACUCCCUCACCACCCCAUCAGGGAGUCCACGCUGCUCAGUACGUGGGUGCUCUACGGUUUCAGUGGCACAGAUCCCUUCUGUUCUGAUAUUUCUUCAAAAAAAGCGCGAGGGAGGAAGGUGCUUCAAACAGGCGUCGUCCUCCUGUUGACCAUGUUGACGUGGAGUCCUUCCUUAAAUUCCUUCUGAAGGAAGUUGUGGACCUGCAGAAAGCUGGCUUCCUGGUCUGCGUUGUAGCUGGCAGCCGUCGUGACCUUCAAAGGCUCUCUGGAGAGGGUGUACAUGGAAAUCUCGUUCAUGGGGAUGGUGCUCGCUAUCUUCAUGCCAACCGGGGAAAUGUCUCUGGACGGAGAAGGCUCCGUAGAUCGAGAGCUGGAUCUGGACCUCCUCCUCCUGUACCUGUAGCUUGGCAUCCUGGCAUAAGGAGAACUGGAGGAAGUCUUAAGGAAUUCCCUCUUGGUCUUAAACCUCAGCUCUUUGUUCUUCUCGAUAUAAAUGUUCACAGCCAGAACACCUAUGGUUUCGGCCACAAUAAAAGACAAGGCUCCAAAAUAAAAAGACCAACCAUAGUUGUAAUGGUUCUUUUUGUCCUCAUCUCGCUUGUCACUUGGGUCACCUGCGUUGCUUGAUAUGUAGACAAUGAUCCCUAUGAUAUUACUUAGACCUAGAGAAAGAAAAACAUAAAUCAGUGGUUAUGUGGCUGGGAAGCUGAAAUUCAGGAUAUGUUACUUUCUGCACCUGAAUGGUUCAAAGAUUGCGACCGGGAAAUUUAUUACAUUUAUUGACUCU